Molecule: long non-coding RNA, 4627 nt
Organism: Passer domesticus (house sparrow)
Lineage: Eukaryota; Metazoa; Chordata; Aves; Passeriformes; Passeridae
Exons: 2
Source: RefSeq, a predicted model, not a curated record
CGGCCUGUAACAGCAGGAGCGGGGCCAGCAGGAUGAGGGAAGCGAUUCUGCCCCUGUACGCGGGCCUGCAGCUGCUGCUUCCAAGGACAGUUCAGCCACAAGCAACCUCUGGUUGACCAGUACUGCUGGUCAGACUCCACAGUCCUGGACAGUCAGGAUAGCAGCACCACUGAGAGUCUGCCACCACCAAGAGCAGCUUCAGUAGCUGCUGGUCCAAACUGACAUCAUGAGGAAGUGUGGGCUCUCCCACUGCUCCAGAAUGUGAGGAACCAAAGUGCCCUCUCUGCCAAAGUCUUCUUUCCACUGCAGAUAAAAACAGCACCAGAGGUAACCUGACUGGCAUCAGGUAAAGACACCAGCACAUCUCUUGGUUACAAAGCAAUACCCCUCCUGUACCUUCUAACACGGACUGUACACAGCCUGAGCACUCAAAUCAACAUGGUAAUAGGAUUAUUCACUUCAGAAAGCCUUCACAAGCCAUUGCUCCAAAGAACCUUGGGUGCUGCAUGCUCCAAACAGGCCAAGCAGUUACUGCAGAAGCACACAACCUUAUUUGAAGCCAGGCCUUUUUAAUCCACAUUAUGUCCGUGCUGAUAAACAUGCAAGGCCAUGCAGGACAAAGAUAAAAUGGUGUGCUCUGGAAAGCAAUAAACACACAUUUUAGCAACUGUUUAAUCUUUCAUAAAACAGGAAUACUUAGCAUAAGCUACAGGCUAAUUAUUUGGCCUCAAAAUACUUUGCAGAUUCCUGUAACUAAUGAAAACAGCAAACUUCUGACAUAUAAUGAUAUACAUUUCUAUCCUUUAGUUGUUUCAAAGCAUCUACUCAUUUAAGAAUACUAGAGCAGGAAAGACAUGAAGAAAACGUUAUCCUGCAGGAGCCUACAGAAGAGAAUUCAAUUAAACUGAUUUCACAGUGCAAGUUUUCAAAGGUGCCUAGUGAUAACAGAUAAACAGCAAGAUGCUGCUUAUCUGUGGUCAUUGCACACACUCGAAACUAUCCCUAAUACUAUCCCUAGAUGCCAUACUCUUAAUUCUUCCAGCAAUUUGGUCCAGUGCAGUGAAAUCAUGCAUAAAGCUGCCACACUGUAUUACGGGAAAGAGCAGCAUGUAGGUGGAUUUUUUUUUCUGUAUUUAAUGAAAUAUAUUUUCACAGAAUCACAGACUGGCCUGGGUUGGACCUUAGAGAUCACCUAGUUCCAACCCUCCUGCCACAGGCAUGAGCACUUUCACUAGACCAGGUUACCCAGAGCUCCAUCCAACCUGGCCUUGAACAUUUCCAGUGAUGGGGCAUCCACAUCUUUUCAGGGCACCCUGUUCCAGUGUCUCCUCACCCUCACAGUAAGGAAUGUCUUCCCAAUAUCUAAUUAAACCUACUCUCUUUCAGUUUGAAGUCACUCCCCCCUUGUCCUGUCACUACAUGCUCUUGUAAAUACUCUCUUUAUAUGAAUCUAUGCUGCUUCCUAGAAGUAUUUCCUCCCACUGUAUAAUACUGAGUCUUGUAUAUAAAGAACAUUUAAAAGUAUAUCCAUGGGUGCAAUUGUUGCUUUAUUGCAGCAAUGCCAGAAAUGCUGCUAUAAAGCAGCAUAUCUAGAAUUUCUGCUGCUUCCUACUUCCAUGACUCCUACUAACAACUAGUCAAAAUAUCCCAUGGACUCUCCAUUCUAAUCCAGCAGUAUAUUUAGAUCCAUCACAUUUCUUACCUAACCCUAGCAAGCCACUUAGACAAUUUGUAUCUGCUGAACAUGGCACACCAGUGCAGCUCUGCACUAUUGAGGUUCUAAUACAGAAACUCUAUCCAAUAUAAAUACAAGAGCUCUGCAGUGUUCUCUGGCUUUGUAAGCAACAAGGAAUUCUCAGUAAAACUAGUGUCCUCUUCCAGGAACACAAACAGCCCUUGAAAGGCAAGUAAUGUUAAAUAUCACCCCCUCUUCCCACACUUGAUGUAGACACCUCCAGAUGUUUGACUUCACCUUAUAUAGGGGAAAAUGCCUCUGCAGCUUUGGUGCUGCCCAGUACUCAACAGGUAGGAGAUAAUAGCAGAUAAGCAGAAAAACUGAUAUGCAGAGCUGUGAAAUAAUUUUGCCAUUGCUCCAUUUCUUGGUAUUAUGCUGAGCUCAAAACAUUCAGUUUAUUUUGAAAUGGUAUUUGGCCUCCAGAAAUACAAUCUUUAAAAUUUUCCAUUAUUGAGUAACUUUCUGCAUAAAAUUUCUCAAUUUAUGGUUACUUCAUAAUGAAGAAAUUAAAACCAGAUGCACAGUUUAAAAAAAAAAAAGCUGUUAACUAUGCAAUUCUUUAGUUCCAGCUACUAAUUAAGAACUGAAAUACCACAGUAAGAGAGCUCUAACUUAACAUUAUGCUUUGUAAAAGCUGUUUCCUCAUCUGUUUCAGAAAACAGCUUCUUUUAUUUUUCACCCUGAACUUCAUUACACUACCAAGAUUCAAUUUCUUCUUUAAUUUUUUAUUAUUUGUAUCAUCAUUUCUGCCAAGAACCUCACUCAUUGCCCAGGCUGCACAGUGGCCAUUAUUCCCAAGGCACGCAGAACAAGAACACUGAUCCUACCACAAAACCUUUCCACUCUGGAUGUAAAAACAUGGAUAGUGACGUCCAAGGAAACAAAAUGAUGCUGAUCAGCACGCCAGGCAAUCAAACCCCAGUCAUUUGUGAUUUGUGAGGUACAGGCCUUUGUGAAGCUUUUUUUUAGAGUUCUGAAGAUCAGUGUGGCUGCUGUGAAGAUUUUUAUGAAGACCUUUACACAAGCAUAGGGGAAGGCAAGGAAAGAAUUAAUGCACUCAGCAGAAAAGUGAUGUGAACACUGUAAUAGGCUGGACUUGGCAUCCUACUGAGGAAGUCACUGACACAAAGCAGUCACAGGUACUGAAGGGCCCUCAGAAACAAACUCAAGUAACUCAGCUUCACUCAAUAGAGAGGGGGCAGACAGAGAAGAUGCAGAGUUUUAACUAUUUUUAAUCAAUAUAAAAUAACCUGUUUAAAAACAGUCAAAGCUAUGCUGCAAUUAACUUUCUUCAAUAUGCACAAGAUAGCUACAGAGCCAUCUGACAGUUCUUGGAUGAAGGCCUGUGGAACUAACAGUAUCAAUUCUCAACAUACAAAGGGGGGGAUACAAUUGAGCCAGUACACACCUCCAACCCCUCCAGUCAAGACCAGGGUCAACACAAAUUGUGGUGGAAGAGUGCACACACACAGACACACACACGCUUUCCCACCUGAAAAGUAACAGGAGCACACACCACUCUGCAUUCACUCCAGCACAGACAGAAGCCACUGGUACAGUGCUCAUCAGCUGUGUCAGAAACAGCCACAUAACUUACAAGCUUACUUAUCAAUUUCUAUGCCAGGGGAGUACACAGCACACAAUAAGGCAAACCAGUGAAAUUUAAAACAAUUUAUAAAAUACUGUUAUUUAAUUCCUGUUCUCUACAACCUCCAUAUUCUUUCCAAAAAUAAAAUGAAGAGAUGAGAUUUCUGAGAAGUUCACAAUGGAUAGUUCUGGAAACAAACUUCACCUGGGAUCUGUAAAGCAGUGCAAAUGCUAGCACAACAGUUGGAUUCGAAACCAGUCUUCCAUUAAAAAAAAAAAAAAGCAAAUACAGAUACUGUAAGCUACAUCAAAAUAGCUGCAGUUCACAUUGCAUGACUGGCCUGAUUUGCUAUUUUCUUUCAUGACUUGUAAAAUACCAGAGUAAGAAACAGCACAAAGGCUUUUUCUUAAUAAAUUUUAAUAUUAAGACCAAUUUGUCUGGAUAAAAACAGUUACAAGUACCACACUCCUGCAAAUUCUGCAUGAUGCACAGUAGUGCUUGCAACAUUUGAGUGGCAAGACCAUUUUGCAACUGUUUGUGAAAGGUAUGUCAAAAACAGAAUCUUGGCAUAAGUAAGAAUGUAUGUUACCAGUGAAUUUAUUAUUGUGAAAAUAUAUCUGUCCCACAAUGUACACCACUGUAAAUAAUCAAAUGCAAUAUUUAUGCACAUCAAAAAUAUAUGGGGCGAAUAUAUACUCAGUUCAGCAUUAAAUCAGCAACAAUAAAUGAAAAAAAUAUUUUGGCUAUUUUUCUAUGAUUUCAUUUCACUGGAAAUUUUCUAAUAAAUCACUCCAAAGGGUAAUCUUUGUGGUUCAAAACCAUCAGGAUAACAGUAAUUCUGUAAAAUAGUAUGGAUCUGAGAGUGACAGCCCAAUCCUCCUGCCACUAAGUUCAGAUGCAUUUGGCUUGUGCUCGCUGCCUUAGAACACGAGUCCAGACACCAAAAGAAUGAAGUACCCCCAUCACAGCCUGGACCACAUUAGCUCAUACCAUGUCAGAUCAGAGAUACAACAUCAAUAAAAGGAGAUGACACUUUAAAAGCACCUGCCAGAUUCUCAAGUAUUAAUUAUAUACACACAUGGUAAAGUACAGAAUACUGAAGGAGAGUGUACUGAAUAGCAAGUUAAAUGUUCCAUCCAUUUUCUCAUUACUGCAAUGGAUAUUCACAUUUUCCACAUUGGUCCAGGAAAGAUACUGCAAUCUAAGCAUGUGAUUUGAUGCUACUUAAAGCUUUGAGAUACUGUUAUGUGUUUUCUUUAUCUACAUAACCCCCACCCCCACCCCCAAAUAUUACUGCAAAAGAA